GGUGUGCAAACAAAAGGGCGGGUCAGAGUAAAAAAAAAAAAAAAUAAAAAAAAAAAAAAAGUCAAGAAUCGUAAUCUCAUGCAUGCGUUGAGCCUUUGCAAGUCUUUUCAGUUAACAGCUUUGGUUGGCAUCGGUGACAUUAAAGCGAAGAUCACUGACAGCUCUUGAAACCAAGACCGACAAUACAUUAAAAAA
Hippocampus comes (tiger tail seahorse) is the source of this 195-nucleotide long non-coding RNA. RefSeq lists it as uncharacterized. Lineage: Eukaryota; Metazoa; Chordata; Actinopteri; Syngnathiformes; Syngnathidae. The transcript has 2 exons. The record is from RefSeq and is a predicted model, not a curated record.